This is a ribosomal RNA of 84 nucleotides. It matches the Rfam family "Bacterial small subunit ribosomal RNA", at positions 1 to 82 of the family's 1533-position model.
UUUUUAUUGAGAGUUUGAUCCUGGCUCAGGACGAACGCUGGCGGCGUGCUUAACACAUGCAAGUCGAGCGAUGAAGCUCCUUCG